GGCGGACGGGUGAGUAACACGUGGGUAACCUACCCAUCGGAGGGGGAUAACACUUGGAAACAGGUGCUAAUACCGCAUAACAGUUUAUGCCGCAUGGCAUAAGAGUGAAAGGCGCUUUCGGGUGUCGCUGAUGGAUGGACCCGCGGUGCAUUAGCUAGUUGGUGAGGUAACGGCUCACCAAGGCCACGAUGCAUAGCCCACCUGAGAGGGUGAUCGGCCACACUGGGACUGAGACACGGCCCAGACUCCUACGGGAGGCAGCAGUAGGGAAUCUUCGGCAAUGGACGAAAGUCUGACCGAGCAACGCCGCGUGAGUGAAGAAUGUUUUCGGAUCGUAAAACUCUGUUGUUAGAGAAGAACAAGGACGUUAGUAACUGAACGUCCCCUGACGGUAUCUAACCAGAAAGCCACGGCUAACUACGUGCCAGCAGCCGCGGUAAUACGUAGGUGGCAAGCGUUGUCCGGAUUUAUUGGGCGUAAAGCGAGCGCAGGCGGUUUCUUAAGUCUGAUGUGAAAGCCCCCGGCUCUACCGGGGAGGGUCAUUGGAAACUGGGAGACUUGAGUGCANAAGAGGAGAGUGGAAUUCCAUGUGUGGCGGUGAAAU
RNAcentral lists this ribosomal RNA (604 nucleotides) under Enterococcus faecalis. RNAcentral describes it as "bacterial SSU rRNA". It matches the Rfam family "Bacterial small subunit ribosomal RNA", at positions 97 to 687 of the family's 1533-position model. Lineage: Bacteria; Bacillati; Bacillota; Bacilli; Lactobacillales; Enterococcaceae. The record is from RNAcentral.